Molecule: ribosomal RNA, 429 nt
Filed under: Pseudomonadota bacterium
Lineage: Bacteria; Pseudomonadati; Pseudomonadota
Description: Proteobacteria bacterium partial 16S ribosomal RNA
Rfam family: Bacterial small subunit ribosomal RNA
Source: RNAcentral
UGGGGAAUAUUGGACAAUGGGCGAAAGCCUGAUCCAGCCAUGCCGCGUGUGUGAAGAAGGUCUUCGGAUUGUAAAGCACUUUAAGUUGGGAGGAAGGGCAGUAAGCGAAUACCUUGCUGUUUUGACGUUACCGACAGAAUAAGCACCGGCUAACUCUGUGCCAGCAGCCGCGGUAAUACAGAGGGUGCAAGCGUUAAUCGGAAUUACUGGGCGUAAAGCGCGCGUAGGUGGUUCGUUAAGUUGAAUGUGAAAGCCCCGGGCUCAACCUGGGAACUGCAUCCAAAACUGGCGAGCUAGAGUAGGGCAGAGGGUGGUGGAAUUUCCUGUGUAGCGGUGAAAUGCGUAGAUAUAGGAAGGAACACCAGUGGCGAAGGCGACCACCUGGGCUCAUACUGACACUGAGGUGCGAAAGCGUGGGGAGCAGACAGG